UAGCUUGUUGGUGAGGUAAUGGCUCACCAAGGCGACGAUCGGUAGCUGGUCUGAGAGGAUGGCCAGCCACACUGGGACUGAGACACGGCUCAGACUCCUACGGGAGGCAGCAGUGGGGAAUAUUGGACAAUGGGGGAAACCCUGAUCCAGCAAUGCCGCGUGUGUGAAGAAGGCCUGAGGGUUGUAAAGCACUUUCAGUGGGGAGGAGGAUUAACAGGUUAAGAGCUGGUUAAUUGGACGUUACCCACAGAAGAAGCACCGGCCAACUCCGUGCCAGCAGCCGCGGUAAUACGGGGGGUGCGAGCGUUAAUCGGAAUUACUGGGCGUAAAGGGUGCGUAGGUGGUUUAAUAAGUUAUCUGUGAAAGCCCUGGGCUCAACCUGGGAAGGUCAGAUAAGACUGUUAGACUAGAGUAUAGGAGAGGGUAGUGGAAUUUCCGGUGUAGCGGUGAAAUGCGUAGAGAUCGGAAGGAACACCAGUGGCGAAGGCGGCUACCUGGCCUAAUACUGACACUGAGGCACGAAAGCGUGGGGAGCAAACAGGAUUAGAUACCCUGGUAGUCCACGCCGUAAACGAUGUCAACUAGCUGUUGGUCAUAUAAAUAUGAUUAGUGGCGC
RNAcentral lists this ribosomal RNA (616 nucleotides) under uncultured Legionella sp. RNAcentral describes it as "bacterial SSU rRNA". It matches the Rfam family "Bacterial small subunit ribosomal RNA", at positions 242 to 849 of the family's 1533-position model. Lineage: Bacteria; Pseudomonadati; Pseudomonadota; Gammaproteobacteria; Legionellales; Legionellaceae. The record is from RNAcentral.